UACGGGGGGGGCAAGCGUUGUUCGGAGUUACUGGGCGUAAAGGGUGUGUAGGCGGUUGUUUAAGUUUGGUGUGAAAUCUCCCGGCUCAACCGGGAGGGUGCGCCGAAUACUGAAUGACUAGAGUGCGGGAGAGGAAAGUGGAAUUCCUGGUGUAGCGGUGAAAUGCGUAGAUAUCAGGAGGAACACCGGUGGUGUAGACGGCUUUCUGGACCGUAACUGACGCUGAGACACGAAAGCGUGGGUAGCAAACAGG
Molecule: ribosomal RNA, 253 nt
Filed under: uncultured bacterium
Lineage: Bacteria
Description: partial 16S ribosomal RNA
Rfam family: Bacterial small subunit ribosomal RNA
Source: RNAcentral